GGCUGAUCCAAUGGUCGUGGGUUAUCAGAACUUACUAACAUUAGUGUCACUAAAGUUGGUAUAUAAUCCCCCACUGCUAAAUUGGACCAGCUUAAA
RNAcentral lists this Y RNA (96 nucleotides) under Microcebus murinus (gray mouse lemur). RNAcentral describes it as "Y RNA (ENSMICG00000045636.1)". It matches the Rfam family "Y RNA". Rfam says of the family: Y RNAs are components of the Ro ribonucleoprotein particle (Ro RNP), in association with Ro60 and La proteins. The record is from Rfam by way of RNAcentral. Lineage: Eukaryota; Metazoa; Chordata; Mammalia; Primates; Cheirogaleidae.